RNAcentral lists this ribosomal RNA (492 nucleotides) under uncultured bacterium. Its description in RNAcentral is "partial 16S ribosomal RNA". It matches the Rfam family "Bacterial small subunit ribosomal RNA", at positions 29 to 507 of the family's 1533-position model. The record is from RNAcentral.
AGUGAACGCUGGCGGUAGGCCUAACACAUGCAAGUCGAACGGCAGCACAGUAAGAGCUUGCUCUUACGGGUGGCGAGUGGCGGACGGGUGAGGAAUACAUCGGAAUCUACUUUUUCGUGGGGGAUAACGUAGGGAAACUUACGCUAAUACCGCAUACGACCUACGGGUGAAAGCAGGGGAUCUUCGGACCUUGCGCGAUUGCAUGAGCCGAUGUCGGAUUAGCUAGUUGGCGGGGUAAAGGCCCACCAAGGCGACGAUCCGUAGCUGGUCUGAGAGGAUGAUCAGCCACACUGGAACUGAGACACGGUCCAGGCUCCUACGGGAGGCAGCAGUGGGGAAUAUUGGACAAUGGGCGCAAGCCUGAUCCAGCCAUACCGCGUGGGUGAAGAAGGCCUUCGGGUUGUAAAGCCCUUUUGUUGGGAAAGAAAAGCAGCAGGUUAAUACCCCGCUGUUCUGACGGUACCCAAAGAAUAAGCACCGGCUAACUUCGCG